GAUGAACGCUGGCGGCGUGCCUAAUACAUGCAAGUCGAGCGAACAGACGAGGAGCUUGCUCCUUUGACGUUAGCGGCGGACGGGUGAGUAACACGUGGAUAACCUACCUAUAAGACUGGGAUAACUUCGGGAAACCGGAGCUAAUACCGGAUAACAUGUUGAACCGCAUGGUUCAACAGUGAAAGACGGUCUUGCUGUCACUUAUAGAUGGAUCCGCGCCGCAUUAGCUAGUUGGUAAGGUAACGGCUUGCCAAGGCAACGAUGCGUAGCCGACCUGAGAGGGUGAUCGGCCACACUGGAACUGAGCCACGGUCCAGACUCCUACGGGAGGCAGCAGUAGGGAAUCUUCCGCAAUGGGCGAAGGCCUGACGGAGCAACGCCGCGUGAGUGAAGAAGGUCUUCGGAUCGUAAAACUCUGUUAUUAGGGAAGAACAAAUGUGUAAGUAACUAUGCACGUCUUGACGGUACCUAAUCAGAAAGCCACGGCUAACUACGUG
RNAcentral lists this ribosomal RNA (497 nucleotides) under uncultured bacterium. RNAcentral's name for it is "partial 16S ribosomal RNA". It matches the Rfam family "Bacterial small subunit ribosomal RNA", at positions 28 to 507 of the family's 1533-position model. The record is from RNAcentral.